AAAUAAAAACCCUAAACAAUAUGCAAAUGCCGCACACUUGCCCCUUCCCUUCCCUCCUAUUCGAUUACUGGAAACCCAGCAACGUUUCCCGCCUCGAUCUGGCAACGUUUUCCGGCCAGCACACCCAUACCCAACCAUUAUCUAUUCGAUUGGAACUGUCACCUUCUCCUCUCUCUUCGGUACCGACACGCACACUCUCCUCUCACCUUACAGCCAACCAUCACUGAAGACGGCGGCGGCGAUGUGGCGGCAGCAAACGACGAUUAGCAGAGGCGACAGUGAUAUCAGGAGGUAUCGGCGACUGAUGGUGAUUGAAACUAUCUCAGGCCGUCAUCGGUGGUGGUGGUGACGGAUCAAACGUGACUGGUUCAGUUGACCGGGGCCCGGGCAUUUAUGGUUCGGACAGCAGGUAGUAGCUAAGGAGAACGCAGACUGGAGCCGAUGGCAGCGGCGGCUGUCGGAGCUCCGACACAGCCCCGUAGCAGUGGCAGCAGACGCCCCUCUUCGUAUCACGGUCUCUCGGGUAUGGUUGACCAACGUAACACAAGUAAAUGGCCUGCCAAGCAAAGCAAAGGUGAGUUCACAACUUUUUGCUUAAAGCAUGCGUUAUCGGUGGUUGGGAAACAAUACAAACAACACUUUCCCUGGUUUGGAAUUGCUUAUUAUCUAUCUCCUUGAGUGGGAUACGGGUAACACUUUCCCUUUGUGUGGGACAUUUUAUUAAUUACUAUUUGUAUUAGAUGCAACAAGUGUACUAAACGAAACUCUAUCAAGGAAGUCCCCACUUAUAUAUACCGAUUAGUCGUUGGGGCCU
This is a long non-coding RNA of Helianthus annuus (common sunflower), 814 nucleotides long. RefSeq lists it as uncharacterized. NCBI's taxonomy places the organism in Eukaryota, Viridiplantae, Streptophyta, Magnoliopsida, Asterales, Asteraceae. The transcript is spliced from 2 exons. The record is from RefSeq and is a predicted model, not a curated record.